Molecule: non-coding RNA, 30 nt
Filed under: Mus musculus (house mouse)
Lineage: Eukaryota; Metazoa; Chordata; Mammalia; Rodentia; Muridae
Source: RNAcentral
UGGGUGACUUGUUAAUAUACUCGAGUGCUA